Hordeum vulgare subsp. vulgare (domesticated barley) is the source of this 992-nucleotide long non-coding RNA. RefSeq lists it as uncharacterized. The record is from RefSeq and is a predicted model, not a curated record. The transcript has 5 exons. Lineage: Eukaryota; Viridiplantae; Streptophyta; Magnoliopsida; Poales; Poaceae.
GGAGUGAAAUUUUCUUGCGAGAGCUGCUACCUCCUUGACGUCACGGCCGCGAGACGAAGAGGAGCACGUGGAAGUGGAAAUUUCUGACGUGGCAACUUCUCAACAAGAUGUAGACGUCAUCCACAUGGAUGAGGAUGAGGAGCUUGGCGACUUCUCAUGAGCUUGACGACUCUUCCAGCGCUAAAGCUGGACUUGAGGUUCCGCUAUCGAUUGCCCCGCCAUCACCCUCAAGUCUUGUGGUCUCAGCGACAAUUGGAAAACUCCAGGACACUCUAGUGACCUGAGCUGCAGCACCAACUCAGCUGAUGCACGCGUUCUGUCUGCAUCGCGUCCCAGAGGACAAGACUUGAGUUGGUAAAGAAGCCAUGAUCCAGGCUGAGCAAAUGAUGUUGCAAGUGAAGGAGGCCUACGAAGCCACCAAGUUGACUUAUGAUGCCAGCUCAACGCUUUGUGCCAAUGUCUGAAAAGCUUGCGAGCUCGGAACUAAGUAUGUUGACCUGGAGAAGGAGAAAAAUGUGACAAAGAACGACCUGGCCCGCGUGCAGACCGAGCUGAAGACCCUCAGAGAUACCGUGAUGAAGGCGCUUGAAUAUAAAGACGAGUAACUUGCUAAAGCGCAGAAGGUGGCGAGGAAGAAAACCGAGGCUGCUGAGAAGAAGCUUGCCGCAGCCAGUAAUUUGGUAGAAGAAAACACCAAAGGUCGAUUGGAUGAGAAGGGCUGAACAGCUGACCAAGAGAAGGAGUGGUCUGGAAAACUACUUAGGGGACUUUGCGAAGAAGAUGUUCAGGAUGCUUCAAGAAUUCUGCCGAGACUUUGACAAGGAAAGUGAAGAGAUCGAGCCAAAUCUGGACGCCACCAAGUUAUCUAUCGGAGACGUUGUGGCCAUGAACAUGUUCCACCUUGACGCUCGUCUUAGAAGUGUUCAAGGGUAUUGUGAUAGUGUCGCUUCUUAGGGAUGAUAGACUACUCAUAUCAACAAGGAAUUCCUUGU